AAGACAUCUUUUUUACCUGCAGAAAAGCUUCAUUUGUGCUUUUCUGCCUGGGGUUUGGUAGAUUUGUUUGAAUGUGUUAUACCCCAGAUAGGAAUCCCAUGGAGCCCAUUUGUAUGAAACUGACUGUAAAGACUUUGGCUCCAUGGCGAUUAAACUGUAUUCGUGUGGUCUGAGCGCCAUUCGCUUAAUAAUGUGCGCUCAGACCUGAGCUAUCUGGGGAUAUGUUAAAUGUCUGUGUGUUAUGUGUAAAAGGUGACUUUAUGUAAUUUAAAGUGUUUUACUGUCUUUGUGUCACCAUGUGCAUAAUGGAGUCUUGUCCCUGUCCUGGGAGAUAAUUGAAUUACUUCUCACUUAUCUCCAGGGCAGAGGAGAGGAAGUCAGGAUGCAUUGUGGUAAAAGGUAUGUGUAUUGGGUUACCUCUCAGGAUAAGGGGGAGGGAAUCUGUGGGUUGUAACUAAUAUGUUA
This is a non-coding RNA of Pelobates cultripes (western spadefoot toad), 465 nucleotides long. The record is from the annotation of a GenBank genome assembly. NCBI's taxonomy places the organism in Eukaryota, Metazoa, Chordata, Amphibia, Anura, Pelobatidae.